This 293-nucleotide ribosomal RNA is filed under the name uncultured eukaryote. Its description in RNAcentral is "partial 18S ribosomal RNA". It matches the Rfam family "Eukaryotic small subunit ribosomal RNA", at positions 6 to 305 of the family's 1831-position model. The record is from RNAcentral.
GGUUGAUCCUGCCAGUAGUCAUACGCUUGUCUCAAAGAUUUAGCCAUGCAUGUCUAAGUAUAAGCAUUUAUACAGUGAAACUGCGAAUGGCUCAUUAAAUCAGUUAUAAUUUACUUGAUGAUUCUUACUACUUGGAUAACCGUGGUAAUUCUAGAGCUAAUACAUGCACAAAAGCCCGACUCACGAAGGGCUGUAUUUAUUAGAUAAAAACCAAUGCAGGCAACUGCUCUUUGGUGAUUCAUAAUAACUUCUCGAAUCGUAUGGUCUUGCACCGACGAUGCUUCAUUCAAAUU